UCUUAGCUUGCUAAGGCUGAUGGCGACCGGCGCACGGGUGAGUAACACGUAUCCAACCUGCCGUCUACUCUUGGCCAGCCUUCUGAAAGGAAGAUUAAUCCAGGAUGGGAUCAUGAGUUCACGUGUCCGCAUGAUUAAAGGUAUUUUCCGGUAGACGAUGGGGAUGCGUUCCAUUAGAUAGUAGGCGGGGUAACGGCCCACCUAGUCAACGAUGGAUAGGGGUUCUGAGAGGAAGGUCCCCCACAUUGGAACUGAGACACGGUCCAAACUCCUACGGGAGGCAGCAGUGAGGAAUAUUGGUCAAUGGGCGAUGGCCUGAACCAGCCAAGUAGCGUGAAGGAUGACGG
This 347-nucleotide ribosomal RNA is filed under the name uncultured Bacteroides sp. Its description in RNAcentral is "bacterial SSU rRNA". It matches the Rfam family "Bacterial small subunit ribosomal RNA", at positions 70 to 414 of the family's 1533-position model. Lineage: Bacteria; Pseudomonadati; Bacteroidota; Bacteroidia; Bacteroidales; Bacteroidaceae. The record is from RNAcentral.